GCCAGGGGCUCGGGCAGUGUGGGCUGAGCCCAAUGUGCGAAGACGGGCCUGCAGUGGAGGAAGCUUUUGCAGGUCAAAAACAUGUGUUUGGGAAACCUUCCUUGUGCUCUUGGCUUGGGAAUCUCACUCCUUCUGUGAAUCACUUCUUCUUGCAGCCUUGGUGUUUUCUCUACUUCAUCUUGGAGUCCUGUGAACCCCUAGUGCGCAUUCUGCUUCCUGCUGGGCUGGCUGCUGGCAGCCGCCCAUCUGUGCCAUCCGUGAGGCAGACAGAGGGACAGACAGGGAGCCUGCAGGGCAGUGACUCCCCUCCUGAGAGAAGGCCCUGCCCGGAUCUGCCAGGUUCUAAACACCUGGCAUGGGGCAGAGGAGAGAUGUCUUGACUGAUAGCAGAAGUGCCAAAUGCUUCUUGGUCCUGCCAUGAAACGCCUGUGCCGCCUCAAACUUCAGCUUCCACCCUAAGAAACAGGACAUCUGGCCUAGAUGGUGCGAAGGGCUCUGUGAGCUUCGUGCUCCUGAGGGAAGGGCUGGGAUGGCAGAGGGAGGCUGAGCCCUGUCCUUCGAGGUUGCCCCCAGAUCUGGCCCUGCCCUCCGACAGGGUUUGAGGCGGUGGCAGCUACUGGUUAAUGGGGACCAGAUGCAGCCCUGUCCCUGGCCGUGCUCGGCCGCCUUCCUGCUCCAAGGACUUGGGGCUCUUUGAAACUCUGUGGAGUGUGGCUUCGGAGCCCAGAGUGGAAACCGCAGCUCCAUUCUGUGAGCACAUGUGAUCUCCCUGGGCGGAGAGAGUGACUGGCCUCAGGAAAGGAGAGGCGAGGUGGAGGCCACUGGCUCUCUGGAGAAUGCUUUUGCCUCCCUGCUUAGGACGGUGUCUGGGAGCCCCAGGGAGGUCACACACAGACCACGGCUUUCAUCCUGGGCACCCUUUGCUCUCUCUGAGUGAAGCCAGCUGCCAUGUUGUGAGCUGCCCAAUAGAGAGGCCCAUGCACCAAGGACCAGAGGGAGGCCUCUGGCCACCAGCCAGCGAGGCCAGCAAGGCCAGUGAGGAACAGAGGUCUGCGGUCCAGCAACCCACGAGACACCAACUCCUGCCAACAAGCACGUGAGUGAGCCUGGAAGCAGAUCCGUCCCCCGUCAAGCUCAGAUGACUGCAGUCCUGGCCAGCAGCUUGACUGCAGCCUGGGAGAGACCACGGGGCAGAGGGCCAGCCAGGCCAUGCGCACACUCCUGACCCACGGAAUCUGGAAGAUAGCAAAUGUGUGUUGUUUUAAGUUGCUGACUUUGGGGACAAUUUGUUACACGGCUGUGGAUAACUAAUUCGACACAUAAAAAUCAAGUGGUUACAGGGUGCCUGGCGCCUUUCCCAUCAUUCUCUCCUCUGCCGUGCUUGGGAGUUCAGCCCAUUUCACAGACAUGGAAGCUGAGACUCAAGAGGUCCCGUGACUUGCUCAAGGGCAUCUAGCUGGAGAGCUGUGAAGCCAGAACACAAGUCCAGGCUCUUUACCCACAAGCCCCAAGAAGACGGGGCAUCCUACCCAAGACUUGUCAGGGCAUUUCCACCUGCCUCAUUCUUGAGCAUCAAAGUCAGGCACAUAUUAUGACUCCAUUGGCC
Molecule: long non-coding RNA, 1606 nt
Filed under: Equus caballus (horse)
Lineage: Eukaryota; Metazoa; Chordata; Mammalia; Perissodactyla; Equidae
Description: lncRNA (ENSECAG00000058678.1)
Source: RNAcentral